This 20-nucleotide unclassified non-coding RNA is filed under the name Mus musculus (house mouse). RNAcentral's name for it is "oocyte_clustered_small_RNA4717". Lineage: Eukaryota; Metazoa; Chordata; Mammalia; Rodentia; Muridae. The record is from RNAcentral.
UGUGGAAACAUACAAACAGA